UCUUCAAGCGGUGGAUCACUCGAAUUACCAAU
This 32-nucleotide ribosomal RNA is filed under the name Tetranychus kanzawai. Its description in RNAcentral is "partial 5.8S ribosomal RNA". Lineage: Eukaryota; Metazoa; Arthropoda; Arachnida; Trombidiformes; Tetranychidae. The record is from RNAcentral.